Molecule: ribosomal RNA, 381 nt
Filed under: uncultured stramenopile
Lineage: Eukaryota
Description: partial small subunit ribosomal RNA
Rfam family: Eukaryotic small subunit ribosomal RNA
Source: RNAcentral
GCUUGUCUCAAAGAUUAAGCCAUGCAUGUCUAAGUACAAGCCUCAGUAAGGUGAAACCGCGAAUGGCUCAUUAAAUCACACCUAAUCUACUGGAAAGUUACUAGUUACUUGGAUAACUGAGGUAAUUCUUGAGCUAAUACAUGCCCGAAGUCCGGAGUCGCAAGACGAAGGAUGCAUUUAUUAGAUCGAACCAACGUUGUUGGUGAGUCAUAGUAACUGAGCGAAUCGCCGUUUGGCGAUGGUUCAUUCAAGUUUCUGCCCUAUCAGCUUUCGAUGGUAGGGUAUUGGCCUACCAUGGCGUUAACGGGUAACGGAGAAUUGGGGUUCGAUUCCGGAGAGGGAGCCUGAGAGAUGGCUACCACAUCCAAGGAAGGCAGCAGG